AUUGAACGCUGGCGGCAUGCCUUACACAUGCAAGUCGAACGGCAGCACGGGUGCUUGCACCUGGUGGCGAGUGGCGAACGGGUGAGUAAUACAUCGGAACAUGUCCUGUAGUGGGGGAUAGCCCGGCGAAAGCCGGAUUAAUACCGCAUACGAUCUACGGAUGAGAGCGGGGGACCUUCGGGCCUCGCGCUAUAGGGUUGGCCGAUGGCUGAUUAGCUAGUUGGUGGGGUAAAGGCCUACCAAGGCGACGAUCAGUAGCUGGUCUGAGAGGACGACCAGCCACACUGGGACUGAGACACGGCCAAGACUCCUACGGGAGGCAGCAGUGGGGAAUUUUGGACAAUGGGCGAAAGCCUGAUCCAGCAAUGCCGCGUGUGUGAAGACGGCCUUCGGGUUGUAAAGCACUUUUGUCCGGAAAGAAAUCCUUGGCCCUAAUACGGUCGGGGGAUGACGGUACCGGAAGAAUAAGCACCGGCUAACUACGUG
RNAcentral lists this ribosomal RNA (486 nucleotides) under uncultured bacterium. Its description in RNAcentral is "partial 16S ribosomal RNA". It matches the Rfam family "Bacterial small subunit ribosomal RNA", at positions 30 to 507 of the family's 1533-position model. The record is from RNAcentral.